This 358-nucleotide long non-coding RNA is filed under the name Cricetulus griseus (Chinese hamster). Its description in RNAcentral is "lncRNA (ENSCGRG00015043032.1)". The record is from RNAcentral. Lineage: Eukaryota; Metazoa; Chordata; Mammalia; Rodentia; Cricetidae.
GACUCUUCCCCUCCCGCUGUCCCAGGGAGCAUAGCUCUGUUGCUACUUUGUUUCUUCUGGAACUGUGGCAGGAUUUCCACUAAGGGUCACAGAGUCCAAGUUCUCAGGGUACUCCAUGGAUUGAACUCAGCAGAAGCCUGGGAGCAGUGGGGUGUGCAAUGCAAUUCUGGGUCAGCUUCCUCCGGCAGAAGGCAAGACAGGGAAGAAGCUGGGGACGAUGGAGACAGGUGAAGCAGAGCAGACUGACACCGAGAAGGGCUCCGAAAUUUGAAAUAAGUCUCUCAGUCUACACGUUUAAUAAAUCAAGCUUCACUGAGCUCUGGUAAUAUUUUUUCGGCUGUGAGAGCCACAGUAGGCG